This 253-nucleotide ribosomal RNA is filed under the name uncultured bacterium. RNAcentral's name for it is "partial 16S ribosomal RNA". It matches the Rfam family "Bacterial small subunit ribosomal RNA", at positions 524 to 776 of the family's 1533-position model. The record is from RNAcentral.
UACGGAGGGUGCAAGCGUUAUCCGGAUUCACUGGGUUUAAAGGGUGCGUAGGCGGGUUGGUAAGUCGGGGGGGAAAUCCCCAAGCUUAACUUGGGAACUGCCGUGGAUACUAUCAAUCUUGAAUAUCGUGGAGGUAAGCGGAAUAUGUCAUGUAGCGGUGAAAUGCUUAGAUAUGACAUAGAACACCAAUUGCGUAGGCAGCUUACUACACGAUCAUUGACGCUGAGGCACGGAAGCGUGGGGAGCAAACAGG